AUGUGUGUACCAAAAACCCAAGGAGGAAUGGGAUUCCGUGAUAUCCACUGUUUCAACCUGGCUCUGCUGGCCAAACAUGCAUGGCGUCUCCUUGAUAAUCCUGAUUCCUUGUGUGCCACUAUUCUAAGGGCCAAGUACUACCCUGAUGGCAAUUUGCUGAAUUCCAAGCCCAAGCAUGGUUCUUCCUUCACCUGGCAAAGCAUUAUGGCAGGCAUUACUACUCUGAAAUGCGGCAAUAUUUGGCGAGUGGGAAAUGGACAUAACAUCAAUAUUUGGAAAGAUGCAUGGAUCCCAAAUUGUGCCACUAGGAAGAUUGUGACUCCUGGGGGGACAUUGUUAUCAAGAGUGGUGGAUCUGAUUGACCCUGUUUCCAAUAUUUGGGAUGAGGACCUGAUUAGACAAACUAUGUGGCCCAUUGACGCUCAACGGAUUCUUACAAUCCCUCUUUUGCAACAUAACAUGUCAGAUUUCAUUGCUUGGAGUUAUACGAAAAAUGGUAUGUUCUUGGUACGGUCUGCUUAUUCCGUGGAGUGGAAUGAUCAAUACGGGAGUAAACUAAAACACUCUAACGGGAUGGGGCGAACCACACCUAACCCUAUUUGGUGCCAGAUAUGGAAAUUAUCCUGUCCGGCAAAAGUCAAAAAAUUUAUAUGGCGUACGUUACAUGGCACUCUCCCAUGCUGGACAACACUUGCUAAUAGACACAUGAAGGUCUCGCCCCUUUAUCCUACUUGCUCUCAGGGUGUAGAAGACACUGAGCACUUGCUUGUAACACCCCGAAUCCGACGCGCCAUGUGUCUCCUGUUUAUUCGCCUUCAUUGCCAUGUCAGUUGCUUGCGUGUUGCAUUUUUCCAUGUCAUCAUCUGUAUUUCAUCUACAUGUUUUUCAAAACUUGCAUCCGUCCGAGUCCUCCCGGUUCUCUCCGUUGUCCGUUCGGAGGCCAGACACACUCGCACGCGCCCGCGGCACCUCUGA
Molecule: ribosomal RNA, 975 nt
Filed under: Triticum aestivum (bread wheat)
Lineage: Eukaryota; Viridiplantae; Streptophyta; Magnoliopsida; Poales; Poaceae
Description: partial small subunit ribosomal RNA
Source: RNAcentral